RNAcentral lists this ribosomal RNA (1296 nucleotides) under Triticum aestivum (bread wheat). RNAcentral's name for it is "partial small subunit ribosomal RNA". Lineage: Eukaryota; Viridiplantae; Streptophyta; Magnoliopsida; Poales; Poaceae. The record is from RNAcentral.
AAGCUGAACGUAGAUGGAGCACAGUGGGUAGUCACUGAAUAUUUUGACGAGCACAACCAUGAGCUAAUAAAGAAGUUUGACCUGGUAAAAUUUCUGACCGCCAACAGAGGAUUCACACCCCUCGAGAAGAAAUUCAUAAAGCUGCUACAUGAUUGUAACGUCGGUCCAUCAAGAAUGGUCCAGAUACUCUCCCUCAUCCACAGCAAAAAUGGGACUCUGAGUAGCAUGCCCUACAUACCAGCAGACGUCACAAACCUAAAGGCAAAGUACCGUAGAGAAAGCAAGUUGGCUGACAUAGAAGCCACGAUAGCCUACUUCGAUGAGAAAGCGAAAGAAGAUCCAGAUUUCUUCUACAGGAUAAGAUUGGACGAUGAGGACCGUGUAAGGAACAUGUAUUGGGUGGAUGGUGCUGCAACAAGAGCCUACAAACAUUUCCGAGACUGCAUUUCAUUCGACGCGACAUAUCUCACUAAUAUGUACAAGAUGCCAUGCGCUCCAUUCAUAGGAAUAAAUAACCACAACACAUAUGGGUACACUUGGCUGUUCAAGACCUUCUUGGAGUGCAUGGGUGGACUUGCUCCGAUGAGCAUAAUAACAGACCAGGAUUUUAGCAUGCGUGCAGGCAUAGAGGUCUUUCCGUUGCCAGUGCACAGGCACUGCAGGUGGCACAUUAUAAAGAAGGCUGAGGAGACGCUAGGACCGUUCUUUGCUACUACACAGCACAACGAGGGGUUCAAUGCUGUUUUGAAGCGGUACGACGGCAUUGUGUGCUGUCACAUACUAAAAGUAAUGGACAUGAACGCGGUGACACGAAUGCCCCGCCAUUUCAUAAGGCGGCAAUGGACUUGGGACGCUGACGAUGCAUUGGCGCCGCAAACAUCAAAUGCAGUUUUGGCUGUGCAUGACGAGAGACCAGAGUCAACCAUGGAAGCCGUGAGGCACAUUGUGUUGACAAAGAACUAUGCUGAACUAAUUGAUGAAGCGUGCAAGAGUGAUGAGACAGCGAGGGUCGCAAAAAAACACAGGAAGGCCCUCAAAAGAGAGCUUGAUGAGAUCAAGAAGAGGAAAGCUGAGGAAGCCUUACACAGGUUCCCCUGCACAUCAAGUGUGCCUUCAUCCACGGGGCCAUCAUCUGAAAACUCGGAGGUAGGAUCUGGAACAGCAAGCACAGAAACCCAGGUUAGGAAUCCGCCCCGUUCCAUCACAAAAGGGCGUCCAAAAGAGAUAAGAUACAAAUCGGGAUUGGAGAUUCAAGCAAAACACAAGAAACCAAAGAAAGGGACGGGCAAUCCGUAA